This 335-nucleotide long non-coding RNA is filed under the name Elaeis guineensis (African oil palm). RNAcentral describes it as "long non-coding RNA (EGUI_LNC054037)". Lineage: Eukaryota; Viridiplantae; Streptophyta; Magnoliopsida; Arecales; Arecaceae. The record is from RNAcentral.
CUCUCUAAAAUAUUCUCUCUCUUGAUUGAUUCUCUCUCUAAAAAGGUUAGUGAAUGAAGAAAUUUCUUUUAAUAGUCUGAUCUGAUUCUAAUGAAGAACCCUGAUCCAUGAUUGUCAGACAGCGUACUGGCACCCACCUUGAUCAGACCAUGAAUCUUUAGAUUUGAUUAUCUAUGAUUUCGAUCUAGCCAUGAUUUGAUUUGAUCAUGUUGAUUUCACCACUCGAGAUAUUGGACCAAUCGUAAUGUUGGAUUGUGUCGCCUGAUCAAUUCGAAUUGCACCUCAUAAAUUCUCUCUCCUCUAAUUAUCUCUCUCUACUUGAUUUUAUGAAAUCG